CUCGUAGGCGGUUCAACAAGUCGGUCGUGAAAGCCCGGGGCUCAACCCCGGGACGCCGGUCGAAACUGUUGUGACUAGGGUCCGGUAGAGGUGAGUGGAAUUCUCGGUGUAGCGGUGGAAUGCGCAGAUAUCGAGAGGAACACCAGUAGCGAAGGCGGCUCACUGGGCCGGUACCGACGCUGAGGAGCGGAAGCAUGGGGAGCAAACA
Molecule: ribosomal RNA, 208 nt
Filed under: uncultured bacterium
Lineage: Bacteria
Description: partial 16S ribosomal RNA
Rfam family: Bacterial small subunit ribosomal RNA
Source: RNAcentral